Molecule: unclassified non-coding RNA, 250 nt
Filed under: fungal sp.
Lineage: Eukaryota; Fungi
Description: partial contains 5.8S ribosomal RNA, internal transcribed spacer 2, and large subunit ribosomal RNA
Source: RNAcentral
CGCACAUUGCGCCCCGUGGUAUUCCGCGGGGCAUGCCUGUUCGAGCGUCAUUACACCUCUCCAGCCUCGCUGGGUGUUGGGCGGCGCGGCCUUCUGGGCCGCCCGCCUCAAUGUCUCCCGGCCACGCCGACCGUCUCCUAGCGUUGUGACAUCCACAGUUCGCUUCGGAGGCUGGCCGUCGUGUCGCCGUCGACCCCCCCAUUUUUUCUAGGUUGACCUCGGAUCAGGUAGGGAUACCCGCUGAACUUAA